This 468-nucleotide ribosomal RNA is filed under the name Closterocerus chamaeleon. RNAcentral describes it as "eukaryotic LSU rRNA". The record is from RNAcentral. Lineage: Eukaryota; Metazoa; Arthropoda; Insecta; Hymenoptera; Eulophidae.
AAACCCAAAAGAUCGAAUGGGGAGAUUCAUCGCCAGCGGCGUUGGCUUCCGUGUGGCUCGCGAUGGCCGGGACUUCGGUCCAGCGUCACGCGUCCGCUGCGGUAUGUCCGACGACGUCGGCGUGCACUUCUCCCCUAGUAGGACGUCGCGACCCGUUGGGUGUCGGACCGAUGGCCGUCUGGUCGACUGUUUCGUCGCGUUUACGCGCGCACGUGGCAGACCAGCAUGGUCGAGUGUCCGGCUGCCCGGCGGUAUAGAACGCUAUUGAACGGUAAUGAGCCGCAUUAAGUGCGUUCAGGCCCGUCGGCAGGCUCGUCUCGCCCGGAUUUACGGACCUAGCGCCGUUGCCGGGUGCUUGGCGUGGCUGUUAGUCGACGGUGUCCUCGGACUGGCUCUAAAAUUCGAAAGGAUUACCGGUCGGCGACGCUACUGCUUUGGGUACUUUCAGGACCCGUCUUGAAACACGGA